Sapajus apella (tufted capuchin) is the source of this 459-nucleotide long non-coding RNA. RefSeq lists it as uncharacterized. The transcript is spliced from 3 exons. Lineage: Eukaryota; Metazoa; Chordata; Mammalia; Primates; Cebidae. The record is from RefSeq and is a predicted model, not a curated record.
CAGGGCAGCUGACGUCAUCGGCAGGCCCUGGAGACACUGCUGCAGUUACCGGGUCUCUAGGGCCGCGUCCCCUGACAGGAAGGCAGCGUUGGAGGGUGGCUGGGUUUACCCUUCGGGCCAAUAUCUUCAGUUACUGAAGAUAAAUACAACUUGGCAAUGAUUGUUUAUAGCGCCCUGAAAAAGAAUGGCUGCCAAUUUCCCUGUAUAUUACAAAGACAAAAGUAGCAUUGCCUCUUUUCUCACCUAACUUAAAACAUCUUCAAGGAAGUGCAUUACAGGAAGGCAAUGAACAAAGACUCAACAGUUCAUAGUAAAGGUCAGGUGCCACUCGUGGCUCGUGUCUGUAAUCUCAGCACUUUCAGAAGUGGAAGUGGGAGGAUCUGUUGGGGCCAGGAGAUCAAAACCAGCCCUGGCCACAUAGUGAGACCCUGUCUCUACAAAAAUAAAAUUUAAAAAUUA